UAGGGAAUAUUGCGCAAUGGAGGAAACUCUGACGCAGCGACGCCGCGUGAGUGAUGAAGGCCUUCGGGUCGUAAAGCUCUGUCGCAAGAGACUAAGAAAGUGAAUGUAUCUUGCAAGAAAGGAUCGGCUAACUUCGUGCCAGCAGCCGCGGUAAGACGAGGGAUCCUAGCGUUGUUCGGAAUCAUUGGGCGUAAAGCGGGUGCAGGUGGCUUUGUAAGUCAGGUGUGAAAUCCCAGGGCUUAACCCUGGAAGUGCAUUUGAUACUGCGAAGCUUGAGUGUAGGAGAGGUUACUAGAAUUCCUGGUGUAGUGGUGAAAUACGUAGAUAUCAGGAGGAAUACCGGAGGCGAAGGCGGGUAACUGGCCUAACACUGACACUCAGACCCGAAAGCGUGGGGAUC
RNAcentral lists this ribosomal RNA (400 nucleotides) under uncultured bacterium. RNAcentral's name for it is "bacterial SSU rRNA". It matches the Rfam family "Bacterial small subunit ribosomal RNA", at positions 355 to 769 of the family's 1533-position model. The record is from RNAcentral.